GACGAACGCUGGCGGCGUGCUUAACACAUGCAAGUCGAACGGAAAGGCCCCUUUGGGGGUACUCGAGUGGCGAACGGGUGUGUAACACGUGAGUAACCUUCCCUUGACUUCGGGAUAACUUCAGUUAACUGGGGCUAAUACCGGAUAGGAAUCCUUGCUGCAUGGUGGUGGUUGGAAAGCUUCGGGGGUUUUGGAUGGACUCGCGGCUUAUCAGCUUGUUGGUGGGGUAGUGGCUUACCAAGGCUUUGACGGGUAGCCGGCCUGAGGGGGCGACCGGCCACAUUGGGAAUGAGGGAAGGCACAGACGGCUACGGGAGGAAGAAGUGGGGAAUAUUGAACAAUGGGCGGAAGGCUGAUGCAGCAAGGCCGCGGGCGGGAUGACGGCCUUCGGGUUGAAAACCGGUUUCAGCAGGGGCGAAGCUUGUGGUGACGGUACCUGCAGAAGAAGCACCGGCUAACUACGUG
Molecule: ribosomal RNA, 465 nt
Filed under: uncultured bacterium
Lineage: Bacteria
Description: partial 16S ribosomal RNA
Rfam family: Bacterial small subunit ribosomal RNA
Source: RNAcentral